GUCGAACCAUUUGUGGUGCUGCUGAUGCUGAUGCAGGUGCUGGAGCUGGAACUGGUGGAGGUGCGUGAUAGAGGUUGGCCGGAGCCGAUCCUGGAACUGGAGCUGGGAUCAUGUAAACAGGGUGAUCCGCCGGCGGUGGUGGUCCUGGGGCUGCCGUUACGGUUGCUGGGAAACCCCCGGAUGAAAUUUGUUUAUCCGGCCAGAUUCCGGCUGUCGCUGGCACAUGCUGUUGUACGGUCACCGGUUGUGGUUUUUCAGGUAACUUCUGGGCGUAGUAUUCCCCUGUAUAAGGGAAAGAAGCAGCUUCUUCAUUCUUCUUCCUAUACAUAGCGAGCUGUUCUUGAUCCCGAAUUUGAAGCCUCUGCAAUUCUUGUAGAUGUUCUUGAUCCCGAAUUUGAAGCCUCUGCAAUUCUUGUAUCUGUCUUUGAAUUUCACCUGGACUCAAAGCAUGAUCCGUCCCAACGACUUCCGGUACCGGAGGUGGCGGCGGUUGGAUCACCGGUUCCGCCACGGGAUCACGGAUUUUAACCGGCGGAGGUGGAGCCAUCCCCUUUUCAAGUCCAAACAAGAAAUCCAUAUUGCUUUGCGGGAUCGCAGCGGUUUUC
RNAcentral lists this long non-coding RNA (605 nucleotides) under Gossypium raimondii (Peruvian cotton). Its description in RNAcentral is "long non-coding RNA (GRAI_LNC010165)". Lineage: Eukaryota; Viridiplantae; Streptophyta; Magnoliopsida; Malvales; Malvaceae. The record is from RNAcentral.